RNAcentral lists this small nuclear RNA (163 nucleotides) under Echinops telfairi (small Madagascar hedgehog). Its description in RNAcentral is "U1 spliceosomal RNA (ENSETEG00000021341.1)". It matches the Rfam family "U1 spliceosomal RNA". From Rfam's summary of the family: U1 is a small nuclear RNA (snRNA) component of the spliceosome (involved in pre-mRNA splicing). Its 5' end forms complementary base pairs with the 5' splice junction, thus defining the 5' donor site of an intron. There are significant differences in sequence and secondary structure between metazoan and yeast U1 snRNAs, the latter being much longer (568 nucleotides as compared to 164 nucleotides in human). Lineage: Eukaryota; Metazoa; Chordata; Mammalia; Afrosoricida; Tenrecidae. The record is from RNAcentral.
AUACUUACCUGGCAGGGGAGAUACCAUGAUCAUGAAGGUGGUUUUCCCAGGGUGAGGCUCACCCAUUGCGCUCCUGGUGUGCUGACCCUGUGAUUUCCCCAAAUGUGGGAAACUCGACUGCAUAAUUUGUGGUAGUGGGGGACUGCGUUCAUGCUCUCCCCUG